GAGUUUGAUCGUGGCUCAGAUUGAACGCUGGCGGCAUGCCUUACACAUGCAAGUCGAACGGCAGCAUGAUCUAGCUUGCUAGAUUGAUGGCGAGUGGCGAACGGGUGAGUAAUACAUCGGAACGUGCCCUGUAGUGGGGGAUAACUAGUCGAAAGAUUAGCUAAUACCGCAUACGACCUGAGGGUGAAAGUGGGGGACCGCAAGGCCUCAUGCUAUAGGAGCGGCCGAUGUCUGAUUAGCUAGUUGGUGGGGUAAAGGCCCACCAAGGCGACGAUCAGUAGCUGGUCUGAGAGGACGAUCAGCCACACUGGGACUGAGACACGGCCCAGACUCCUACGGGAGGCAGCAGUGGGGAAUUUUGGACAAUGGGCGAAAGCCUGAUCCAGCAAUGCCGCGUGUGUGAAGAAGGCCUCGGUUGUAAGUA
Molecule: ribosomal RNA, 424 nt
Filed under: uncultured microorganism
Description: bacterial SSU rRNA
Rfam family: Bacterial small subunit ribosomal RNA
Source: RNAcentral